ACCGGCGGAUGGGUGAGUAACGCGUAGGUAAUCUGCCUUCAGGACGGGAUAACCCACCGAAAGGUGAGCUAAUACCGGAUGAUGCAGCGGGGCCGCAUGGCCACAGUUGUUAAAUCCUUCGGGAGCCUGGAGAUGAACCUGCGUGCCAUUAGCUAGUUGGUAGGGUCAAAGCCUACCAAGGCGAUGAUGGCUAGGGGGUCUGAGAGGAUGAUCCCCCACACUGGGACUGAGACACGGCCCAGACUCCUACGGGAGGCAGCAGUGAGGAAUCUUGCGCAAUGGGGGCAACCCUGACGCAGCCACGCCGCGUGCUGGAAGACGGCCCUAUGGGUUGUAAACAGCUUUUACUGGGGAAGAACCUGGACCUUUCGAGGACCACUGACGGUACCCAGUGAAUAAGCACCGGCUAACUCCGUGCCAGCAGCCGCGGUAAUACGGAGGGUGCAAGCGUUGUCCGGAAUCAUUGGGUGUAAAGGGUGUGCAGGCGGAAGUCUAAGUCGGAGGUGAAAUCUUGCCGCUUAACGGUAAAAGGGCCUUCGAAACUGGAUUUCUUGAGUUCGGAAGAGGUUGGUGGAAUUCGUGGUGUAGCGGUGAAAUGCAUAGAUAUCACGAAGAACACCGGUGGCGAAGGCGGCCAACUGGUCCGAUACUGACGCUGAGACACGAGAGCGUGGGGAGCGAACAGGAUUAGAUACCCUGGUAGUCCACGCUGUAAA
This 716-nucleotide ribosomal RNA is filed under the name uncultured bacterium. Its description in RNAcentral is "bacterial SSU rRNA". It matches the Rfam family "Bacterial small subunit ribosomal RNA", at positions 94 to 806 of the family's 1533-position model. The record is from RNAcentral.